RNAcentral lists this ribosomal RNA (409 nucleotides) under uncultured bacterium. RNAcentral describes it as "bacterial SSU rRNA". It matches the Rfam family "Bacterial small subunit ribosomal RNA", at positions 29 to 416 of the family's 1533-position model. The record is from RNAcentral.
AGCGAACGCUGGCGGCGUGCUUAACACAUGCAAGUCGAGCGAAGGUGUUUCAAGGGUAACCUUGAGAUACACUUAGCGGCGGACGGGUGAGUAAUACGUGGAUAACUUACCUCUAGGCCUGGGAUAACCCCGGGAAACUGGGGCUAAUACCUGAUAAGACCACAUUGUCUACGGACAAAGGGGUAAAAGGUGGCUGUGCAAACAGCUAUCGCCAAAAGAUAGGUUCACGUCCCAUCAGGCAGUGGUGAGGUAAUGGCUCACCAAACCAAAGACGGGUAGCCGGCCUUGGCGGGUGAACGGCCACACGGGGACUGAGACACGGCCCCGACUCCUACGGGAGGCAGCAGUGGGGAAUAUUGGGCAAUGGGCGCAAGCCUGACCCAGCGACGUCGCGUUGGGGAAGAAGGCC